Molecule: transfer RNA, 96 nt
Filed under: Micromonospora sp. AKA38
Lineage: Bacteria; Bacillati; Actinomycetota; Actinomycetes; Micromonosporales; Micromonosporaceae
Description: tRNA-Val
Source: RNAcentral
GGCCGGCGGCGACGUGGAAGGCGACGUCGUCGGCGUACCCCCGGCGGAGCACGUCGCCGAGCGCGGCCCGCAGUUCGGGACGGCGGCCGGCCUCCA